UGAUCAGUAUUGCCUUGGAUG
RNAcentral lists this microRNA (21 nucleotides) under Picea abies (Norway spruce). Its description in RNAcentral is "pab-miR11537". Lineage: Eukaryota; Viridiplantae; Streptophyta; Pinopsida; Pinales; Pinaceae. The record is from miRBase by way of RNAcentral.